This is a long non-coding RNA of Hemicordylus capensis (graceful crag lizard), 471 nucleotides long. RefSeq lists it as uncharacterized. The record is from RefSeq and is a predicted model, not a curated record. Lineage: Eukaryota; Metazoa; Chordata; Lepidosauria; Squamata; Cordylidae. The transcript has 3 exons.
GUAGAAGCAACAGCAUUUCUCAGAGGCAACUGGAUUCUCCUCUCCCUCUCCCAAGAAUAGAUGGGAUGAUCAUGGCAAAGCAGUUGUGCAAAUGAGUAUAGUUUGUAUCAUUCCUAGUUUACAAGGAACUGCAUUCUACCUGUUCUCGCAAGACAAAAAGAGAUACUUCUCCAAGGAAGAGGGAAAAUGCCAUGGUUCCAUUUUGCCUUCCUUCCUCUGCAGUCUGCCCAUGAGGAGGGUCUGAGUAGAUUGCUGUGCUACCUCGGAGAACUGACCACCUGAAGUAGCCUGCUUCACCCUGCUUCAUGGUAGGGCUGGCUCUGGACAAUAUAUGAAAGCUGAUUUCUGAAGGCAUCAACACAGACAACUGGGUCAUGUUUUCUGACCAAAUGGGACCAGGACCUCCCAAGAAAAAAAGAAAGAGAGAGAAAAAAGAGAAAGAGAGGAAAGAGAGGGAAAAAAGAAAGAGAG